CACACGCAUCUCAGACUCGGUGGCCAAGUUCACGAGCAGCGUGAGAUGGUGUCAGCCACCGAGCACCGUGGAGUCGUGCGUGUGACUUCCAGUCUGGGUCACCAAAGGCCACCAGCUUCCUCUUGGGACACUCAGAGCCCCGCUCUCCUGCCAUGAGAAGCCCAAGGCACAGAGAACAUCCAGGGACAUGGUCCAUCAGCAGCGCCAGCUGAGCCCAGCCUGGACCAGACAGCUGCGUGUUGGAAUCACCUGGGCAGACUCCAGACCUCCCAGUGUCUAAACUGCACCUGGACCAGGGACUGAGAACAUCGUGGGGGGGACCCGGGACCAGGCGAAUCCAACGGGAUCACCAGGAGCUUGCCAGCAAUGCAGCGUCUGCAUUAACGCCCAGAAAGAAUUCAGAGACGAGACGCGGAGGUCAAGAAAGUUAAGUGAGAUUAUAUGGUAUUUUCUUUCUCUUUCUGGCUUACUUCACUUAGAAUGACAAUCUUCAGGCCCAUCCAUGUUGCUGCGAACGACAUUGUUUUAUUUCUGUGUGUGACUGAGUAGCGUUCUAUUGUUUAAACACACCACAACUUCUUUACCCAGUCGUCUGUCGAUGGACAUUUAGGCUGUUUCCACGUCUUGGCUGUUGCAUAUAGUGCUUCUGUGAACACUGGGGUGCAUGUAUCCUUUUGAAUUUGACUUCCCUCCGGAUGUAUGCCCCAGAGUAGGAUUGCUUGAUCAUAUGGUAAGUCUAUUUUUAGUUUUUUGAGGAAUCUCCAUACUGUUUUCCAUAAUGGUACUCACAGACAUAGUAAAAAAUCUUAUGGUUACCAGGGGGAAAGGGAGUGGGAAAGGAUAAAUUUGGGAGCUUGAGAUUUGUAAAUACUAACCACUAUAUAUAAAAAUAGAUUAAAAAAACAAAUUUCUUCUGUAGAGCACAGGGAACUAUAUUCAACAUCUUGU
Long non-coding RNA from Camelus dromedarius (Arabian camel), 948 nucleotides. RefSeq lists it as uncharacterized. The transcript is spliced from 3 exons. Lineage: Eukaryota; Metazoa; Chordata; Mammalia; Artiodactyla; Camelidae. The record is from RefSeq and is a predicted model, not a curated record.